GAUGAACGCUGGCGGCGUGCCUAAUACAUGCAAGUCGAGCGAACGGACGAGAAGCUUGCUUCUCUGAUGUUAGCGGCGGACGGGUGAGUAACACGUGGAUAACCUACCUAUAAGACUGGGAUAACUUCGGGAAACCGGAGCUAAUACCGGAUGAUAUUUUGAACCGCAUGGUUCAAAAGUGAAAGACGGUCUUGCUGUCACUUAUAGAUGGAUCCGCGCUGCAUUAGCUAGUUGGUAAGGUAACGGCUUACCAAGGCAACGAUGCAUAGCCGACCUGAGAGGGUGAUCGGCCACACUGGAACUGAGACACGGUCCAGACUCCUGCGGGAGGCAGCAGUAGGGAAUCUUCCGCAAUGGGCGAAAGCCUGACGGAGCAACGCCGCGUGAGUGAUGAAGGUCUUCGGAUCGUAAAGCUCUGUUAUUAGGGAAGAACAUAUGUGUAAGUAACUGUGCACAUCGUGACGGUACCUAAUCAGAAAGCAACGGCUAACUACGUG
Molecule: ribosomal RNA, 497 nt
Filed under: uncultured bacterium
Lineage: Bacteria
Description: partial 16S ribosomal RNA
Rfam family: Bacterial small subunit ribosomal RNA
Source: RNAcentral